RNAcentral lists this ribosomal RNA (934 nucleotides) under Staphylococcus aureus. RNAcentral's name for it is "partial 23S ribosomal RNA". It matches the Rfam family "Bacterial large subunit ribosomal RNA", at positions 1603 to 2538 of the family's 2925-position model. The record is from RNAcentral. Lineage: Bacteria; Bacillati; Bacillota; Bacilli; Caryophanales; Staphylococcaceae.
CACUGCCGAGAAAAGCCUCUAGAUAGAAAAUAGGUGCCCGUACCGCAAACCGACACAGGUAGUCAAGAUGAGAAUUCUAAGGUGAGCGAGCGAACUCUCGUUAAGGAACUCGGCAAAAUGACCCCGUAACUUCGGGAGAAGGGGUGCUCUUUAGGGUUAACGCCCAGAAGAGCCGCAGUGAAUAGGCCCAAGCGACUGUUUAUCAAAAACACAGGUCUCUGCUAAACCGUAAGGUGAUGUAUAGGGGCUGACGCCUGCCCGGUGCUGGAAGGUUAAGAGGAGUGGUUAGCUUCUGCGAAGCUACGAAUCGAAGCCCCAGUAAACGGCGGCCGUAACUAUAACGGUCCUAAGGUAGCGAAAUUCCUUGUCGGGUAAGUUCCGACCCGCACGAAAGGCGUAACGAUUUGGGCACUGUCUCAACGAGAGACUCGGUGAAAUCAUAGUACCUGUGAAGAUGCAGGUUACCCGCGACAGGACGGAAAGACCCCGUGGAGCUUUACUGUAGCCUGAUAUUGAAAUUCGGCACAGCUUGUACAGGAUAGGUAGGAGCCUUUGAAACGUGAGCGCUAGCUUACGUGGAGGCGCUGGUGGGAUACUACCCUAGCUGUGUUGGCUUUCUAACCCGCACCACUUAUCGUGGUGGGAGACAGUGUCAGGCGGGCAGUUUGACUGGGGCGGUCGCCUCCUAAAAGGUAACGGAGGCGCUCAAAGGUUCCCUCAGAAUGGUUGGAAAUCAUUCAUAGAGUGUAAAGGCAUAAGGGAGCUUGACUGCGAGACCUACAAGUCGAGCAGGGUCGAAAGACGGACUUAGUGAUCCGGUGGUUCCGCAUGGAAGGGCCAUCGCUCAACGGAUAAAAGCUACCCCGGGGAUAACAGGCUUAUCUCCCCCAAGAGUUCACAUCGACGGGGAGGUUUGGCACCUCGAUGUCGGCUC